Molecule: long non-coding RNA, 942 nt
Filed under: Lathyrus oleraceus (garden pea)
Lineage: Eukaryota; Viridiplantae; Streptophyta; Magnoliopsida; Fabales; Fabaceae
Description: Pisum sativum (pea) long non-coding RNA (PSAT_LNC024344)
Source: RNAcentral
UGUUGUAAGUUACAAAAUGUGCAAAAAGCUAAGUUUGGGGUGGUAAUCUUUAAAGAAAGGGCGAGUGCAUAAGAAGAGAUCUAAAAGUAAUGCAAAAAGAAGAGACGUGUGUAUGUCCUAAUAAAAAAAAGAGAAAGAAAAGAAAAAAAAAAAAAAGAGAAAUGCACUUGCCGAGACUUAAGACUCUAACACCUGUAAAAUGCUCACAGAGAAUUGAGUUAAAAAGAGUCAAAAGUGAAUAAACCCCCAGAGUUAUGAGUUAAGCACGAAAAAAAAGAGAAAAUCAAACAACAUGAAUGCCGAGUUCAAAACCAUUUGUUAUCCAUUUCUGUGUCUAUCCUACCGUACCCAAGCCCCGUUACAACCGAAAAGACCUCAUAAAGUGUGUGGAAUCUGUUGUUGUAGUGAAAUUAGAAUUUAUUCAAAUUUAAGAGUUUGGUAUUGCAUGUUGUGCUGUGAGUGUAAACACCCUAACCAUGAGAGAUGUUGUGAGUAUGUGAAAAAGCUUGCAGGUAACGAGGCCUCUGAUGUGGAAAUGUGGUGAACAGUUUGAGUCGGGAAAACCGGAAACUUGAUUGGAAAGGAAGAACACAAGUUGUGAAGGACAAGGUUGCAUUGUGGAAAGUGAAUUCGUGGGUGACCUUUGUUUGGACUCAAUACAUCACUUGAGGACAAGCAAUUAGACAAGUUUGGGGUUGUGAUCGGUCACCAUUUCCAUUGAAUUCCCACCUUUUAUCCGGCAUAUUUUCAUCACUUUGGUAAGAUUUGUGGUUGUUUUUAGUUGUUUUAAAGUCAUUUAACAUGUUUCGUUAGUUUAUUAUUGCAUUGCAUUUUGUUACAUGUUUGUGUCAAAAAGUCUCUUUUAUGCUUCGAUUUGGUAGUGUUAGUGUUGCAGGUUGUUGCAUAGGUUCAAAAGGACUAAUAGCUGAGUGUUGGAUGCUC